UACGUAGGGUGCGAGCGUUAUCCGGAAUUACUGGGCGUAAAGCGUGCGCAGGCGGUGAUGUAAGACAGAUGUGAAAUCCUCGGGCUCAACCUGGGAACUGCAUUUGUGACUGCAUCGCUGGAGCGCGGCAGAGGGGGAUGGAAUUCCGCGUGUAGCAGUGAAAUGCGUAGAUAUGCGGAGGAACACCGAUGGCGAAGGCAAUCCCCUGGGCCUGCACUGACGCUCAUGCACGAAAGCGUGGGGAGCAAACAGG
RNAcentral lists this ribosomal RNA (253 nucleotides) under uncultured bacterium. RNAcentral describes it as "partial 16S ribosomal RNA". It matches the Rfam family "Bacterial small subunit ribosomal RNA", at positions 524 to 776 of the family's 1533-position model. The record is from RNAcentral.